RNAcentral lists this non-coding RNA (29 nucleotides) under Rattus norvegicus (Norway rat). Lineage: Eukaryota; Metazoa; Chordata; Mammalia; Rodentia; Muridae. The record is from RNAcentral.
UCAGUAACACAGACAGAAUGAGUUACCUC